Molecule: RNA transcript, 2367 nt
Organism: Lolium rigidum
Lineage: Eukaryota; Viridiplantae; Streptophyta; Magnoliopsida; Poales; Poaceae
Exons: 4
Source: RefSeq, a predicted model, not a curated record
CGGAAGUUGAGGCGGAGCAGCGGCGGAGACCACUUCUUCUUCCUCGAGCCACACCAACACUCAUUUUCGUCCAGGUAUGUGUCCCUCUUCUGUCCCUCUUUCUAUUUGCUAUUCAUUCCCCUCAGGCUAACCCCAUGGCCACCCAUCUUCCUGCUCUGGAAAAGGCAGGGGCGUGGAGAAAUCAAGGAGGUACCGGAUGGGAAGCAGCCAGAGGCGCAGCACGGGCUAUGGUUGGAGAAGUCCGAGCGCCGAUGCCGUUUCCAAGAGGGGUCAUAGCGAGAUGGCCCACAAGCGUCUGGCGAGGGAUGCAUUGGCGUCGCUAUCUUCGGCCACCUCUGGCAGGUCGGCUUCGGCGCUGCAAAUUCGCCACCAACCUCCCUUCUUGCGCCGCCCGCCUUCGCAGCACGGCCUACCAGCCCUCGAUGGGAACUAAUUUCUUUCCCCUGCUCCCGAUAGAUAUUUGGUUCAUCCUUUCACGUUCAGUGGAGAUUAUGGUCAAGUCUUUACCUUCCAAAUGCCAAAUUGGUGAUGUCAACUGAGCGAAGGAGGGGUUACACCCACGUCGUGGCAGAGGCAGACAUUCUGCGACAGUUUGUUCCUUCACCAUGGUGGGUUCCUACCAAUUCUUAUUUGGAUAUGGUUGAUGCAAUCCUAUGCUCCUCUCAAGUUCACUUUCUUUGUACAGCUUCAGUGAUGCUACAGGUUUCAUUCUUGAGGUAAGGAAAAUUACCUUAGAUGAUCCUUCAUUUUUCUAUGCUGUUUUGCGAAAAGAAGUUGCAUUGUAUGGAAAUAAGCUAUUUGUAAUAACUGAGAUGGCUUCCUUGUUUUUGACUGGUCAGGAAUGUUGAUGCCUUGCAAUUUAGUUUUUGAAGUUCAAAUGCAUAUGCAUGUUGUUCAAGUAGUGACACUGAUAGACAUUUCUGUUUUUUUUAUAUCUCAGGGCUCUACAGAAAAUGGUCGUAUGAUGAAAGGUGCAUAUGAAAAAAAACGUGUGUCAAUUAAUCUCACAGCUUGUGAGUCUAAUAGCCACAGUUUUUAGGCAACAUUUAACAGCAUAGACCGUAUUACUAAAAGAUGCCAUGUCUAAUCUGAACAUUACCUUUAAGAAGCAGCGGGUGACUCUGACGAUGCAAAUUUUGCAGCCACAUGCCAUUCAGCAUAGAUUUGCGAUCAAUCAUGUUAAUUUGUCCUGUCUCGAUGCUACUUCAAUCACAGAUAUACAAUGGGAAGCCUAUGUGUGUUAUCCAGAAAUAUAUUUCCAUAUUACUACGAUAAGUUGGUAAUUAACAUGAAGCUUGCUUAUAUGUUACUUCUCUAUCUUUUAUCUUUACUUGCAGGUUAUUUUGUCUUUACGAUCUGUUUCUUCUACAAAAUCUGUGGUAGGAAAGAACACAGCUUGAGACUUCCCAGUUAUACAAGGAAGCUGGAGUCAAUCAACUAACAAUAAAUGUGAAAUGAAUUAUAUGGUAUAUCAACUCAUAUUAGGUGACUAUUCAUAUUAGCUAAUCAUAUUUUCUACUUUAUAUAGACUCUACGUUGCUUAGGAAAAUAUCCAUAUUUUCUGAUUCAUUAGCACCAUUGCUACCUCGUAUUAUUAUUAUUGUUUUUUAUGAAGGAUGAUUGUUCAUAUUAGCUAAUCCAAUUUUCUACUUCCUAUGAACUCUACCGUUAUUUAGGGCAAAUAUCCCUAUUUCUGAUUGAAUACCGUUAUUUUGUGAUGCAUCUUCCCAUAUUUCAUUUUUAUGCAUUGUAGAUUAAUCGGGUAAAGAUAAUCCUUUAUUAUGCUUAUGCAGAGUGUGAUUUAGAUACUUCUGCAGUGCACAUUUUGUAUCAUGGCGAUAUACACAUGUCUCCUAAGAGGUGCCAUGAGAUCUUUAGUAGUUGUAAAAGCUAGAGGAUUCAUAUUUGGCCCAGGAUCCCGUUGGCCAUUGGCGCAAAAUUCGUACUGUUGCGCAAACCUGAGAAACUCCCAGGUAAUCUCACCUGCAAAGUUUACCAUCCGCAGAGGUGAAGAGGAUUUCACAUGUAUUUAUAUCAAGUGUUGUGCGAGUACUACAACACCCUGAAACUUGGCUGAAUGUAUUAUCUAGCCCAUUAAGUACGCACUACUAUAGGCAUCGGUUUUCUAAAGAGUUUCUGUUGAGUAGACUCAUUAAAUUCUGCUACUGGAAGGUGGAUCAAACAUUAUAGAGAUUGUAAGCAUGUUCUGAUCGAUUAGGCCGCAGCUUGUGAUAGAUUACAGACACAAUUGUAUGUACCUUCAUCAUGCUGUUGAUUUAGCUCUUAGAAAUAGUGAAGGUGAACUGAUUUUCAGAAGUUAUGUACUAGCGUAUGGAACGGAUUGCUUUGAUAUGCACAUUGGAGCCA